This 495-nucleotide ribosomal RNA is filed under the name uncultured bacterium. Its description in RNAcentral is "partial 16S ribosomal RNA". It matches the Rfam family "Bacterial small subunit ribosomal RNA", at positions 28 to 507 of the family's 1533-position model. The record is from RNAcentral.
GACGAACGCUGGCGGCGUGCCUAAUACAUGCAAGUAGAACGCUGAAGGAGGAGCUUGCUUCUCUGGAUGAGUUGCGAACGGGUGAGUAACGCGUAGGUAACCUGCCUGGUAGCGGGGGAUAACUAUUGGAAACGAUAGCUAAUACCGCAUAAGAGUAGAUGUUGCAUGACAUUUGCUUAAAAGGUGCAAUUGCAUCACUACCAGAUGGACCUGCGUUGUAUUAGCUAGUUGGUGGGGUAACGGCUCACCAAGGCGACGAUACAUAGCCGACCUGAGAGGGUGAUCGGCCACACUGGGACUGAGACACGGCCCAGACUCCUACGGGAGGCAGCAGUAGGGAAUCUUCGGCAAUGGACGGAAGUCUGACCGAGCAACGCCGCGUGAGUGAAGAAGGUUUUCGGAUCGUAAAGCUCUGUUGUAAGAGAAGAACGAGUGUGAGAGUGGAAAGUUCACACUGUGACGGUAUCUUACCAGAAAGGGACGGCCAACUACGUG